UCCUUCAUUCCCGACCCCUCUCAUCUCCCUCACGCGCCGCCUUCUCCCGAUCCUCCUCCUCGUGUUGUCGUCAGCCACCACAGCCUGAUGCCGGACGUCGCAGCCUACCGCCAGAUCGUAGAUUCUUCUUUUCACCGUUCCUCUCCCGAUUCGCCCUCAUCGCGACACAUGAUUGCCGACGCCGACCCCCUUAGCUCCGAUCCAGUUGUCGUCUGUCCAGCCCUAGCCACGGACACCAGGAACUCAUUGGAAAUCGAGCGUGUGAGCCGGUGAUAGUAGGGUUCUUGAGUCUUUUGCCUUUCUUGCGAUUUCUCUGAUUCCUGCUUCUUUAUUUUGAUUGGUCACCGUUUCUUCCGAUCGAUCGAGGCUGAAGCAGCUUGGCCUUGUCGUCGCUUCUUCCCUUUCAUCGCCGGCAUAGAUCUAUGUCAUUGUUGUCCUGAGGGUUGAGUCGUCGUUCUUGUAAGGUUUGAUAUGUGAUCUGAGUCCUAGACUCAACCUGCUGCCACUGGAUCUCUGCACAUCGCAGCCCCGAUCACUAGAUUCUGGUUCCUCUUCAUCGUUGGUACAGAUUUGGUUAUCGAUCCUUUGGGUGGGACAUAUUUCAUACACAGAAUUAGAUUGAGCUCCGGCUAGCACUGUUCACCGGUGAUCCACAGUGUCGGCCAUCUUGUUACAGCUGUGAGCCUCUUCAAUCACGAGCUACCUGCAACUCACUUGAGAUUGGAUUCGCAAGGGAAGGAGUUAGCGAACAGUAGUGGAUCGUUGCUAUUGAUUGUGAGCCACUUUCAGUGACAUCUUGUUGCCAAAUUUAGAGUAAGGACUUUGAUCCGAGAUGAGCGUCUCGAUGUGAGAUCGUUUGACACGAUCGACAUAUAUAGGCGGGUACUUCUUGCUUUAUCUCUUAGUACUUUGUUCUUAGUGCAUGAGCUAUACCUUCGAUAGUUCCUGUAUUUGAUCUAAGAAUCAAAUUCUCAAACUUGUUUUACAUCUUUCAGAUACUCAUAGUGAGAUUGUCACUGGUACAGGGGAGAUGCUGCCGGAUUUUCCUCUGGCAGGGACUCCUUUUGGGCGUGACAAUUUAUUGGUAUAAGAGCUACAGGUUUACGAUGCCUAUUUUCUUGUGUUUUAGAUUUCGUAUUUUGAUUUUCUCGAUGUGACUUUUCGGAUUUUGGGACCAGGCAGCAGCAGGACAUCUCCAAGCUAUAGGAGCCUGUAUCCUUGCUAUGCGUGGUGCUAUUUUGAGGACCAGAGGUGCGAUGGAGAAGGAAGCGAGAUAGAUGCGACGCUUGAUCCAUCGGCGGUACAUUGGAGGACAGCGAUCCAUUGGCGGCAUAUUGGAGGACAGCGUUGGAUGAGGCCAUAAUAGUUGAAAAUUUUAUUUUCAUAUUUAUUGUCUUUAUAUGCUAUUUUAUGUGCUGUGAUGUGUGGGCAUGAUUAAA
Zingiber officinale is the source of this 1439-nucleotide long non-coding RNA. RefSeq lists it as uncharacterized. The record is from RefSeq and is a predicted model, not a curated record. Lineage: Eukaryota; Viridiplantae; Streptophyta; Magnoliopsida; Zingiberales; Zingiberaceae. The transcript has 5 exons.